RNAcentral lists this ribosomal RNA (633 nucleotides) under Glutinoglossum glutinosum. RNAcentral describes it as "eukaryotic LSU rRNA". It matches the Rfam family "Eukaryotic large subunit ribosomal RNA", at positions 26 to 667 of the family's 3401-position model. The record is from RNAcentral. Lineage: Eukaryota; Fungi; Ascomycota; Geoglossomycetes; Geoglossales; Geoglossaceae.
CGCUGAACUUAAGCAUAUCAAUAAGCGGAGGAAAAGAAACCAACAGGGAUUGCCUUAGUAACGGCGAGUGAAGCGGCAACAGCUCAAAUUUGAAAUCUGGUUCCUUUCAGGGGCCCGAGUUGUAAUUUGUAGAGGAUGUCUUCGGGUCUGGCCCCGGCCUAAGUUCCUUGGAACAGGACGUCACAGAGGGUGAGAAUCCCGUAUGUGGCUGGAGGUCUAUUCCCAUGUGAAGCUCCUUCGACGAGUCGAGUUGUUUGGGAAUGCAGCUCAAAAUGGGUGGUAAGUUUCAUCUAAAGCUAAAUACUGGCGGGAGACCGAUAGCGCACAAGUAGAGUGAUCGAAAGAUGAAAAGCACUUUGGAAAGAGAGUUAAAAAGUACGUGAAAUUGUUGAAAGGGAAGCGCUUGCGACCAGACUUGCCCUCAGUUGAUCAACCGGGGAUAAACUCCGGUGCACUCUGCUGAGGUCAGGCCAGCAUCGGUUUAGGCGGUUGGAGAAAGGCCUUGGGAAUGUGGCUCCUUCUGGGGAGUGUUAUAGCCCAUGGUGCCAUGCGACCAGCCUGGACCGAGGACCGCGCCUUAGUGCUAGGAUGCUGGCGUAAUGGUCGUAAGCGACCCGUCUUGAAACACGGACC